CUACCAAUACUACCGAAAAUACCCAAAAUGUGCCUAGAGUUUCGGAAGUUGAUGCGGAAACCAAAGCCUUUGUAGAGGACAUGAAUGAGAAUUGGCACUUAAGAAAGGGGAAGCAACAAAAAAAUAGUACUAAUUAUGAUAAUGAAAAGGGCAUAAUAAAGAUGAAUGAGAAUGAGAGUUCGCUGUAUAGUUUGGACAAUAUAAAGAAGGGAAAAAUAGUACUAAUGAUGAUAAUGAAAAGGGCAUAAUAAAGAUGAAUGAGAAUGAGAGUUCGCUGUAUAGUUUGGAGAAUAUAAAGAGGGAUUAUAGGUUGAAGAAGCAGAGAAUACAUGCGGGCUUGU
This 341-nucleotide long non-coding RNA is filed under the name Nicotiana benthamiana. Its description in RNAcentral is "long non-coding RNA (NBEN_LNC038878)". Lineage: Eukaryota; Viridiplantae; Streptophyta; Magnoliopsida; Solanales; Solanaceae. The record is from RNAcentral.